This 252-nucleotide ribosomal RNA is filed under the name uncultured bacterium. RNAcentral's name for it is "partial 16S ribosomal RNA". It matches the Rfam family "Bacterial small subunit ribosomal RNA", at positions 524 to 776 of the family's 1533-position model. The record is from RNAcentral.
UACGUAGGUCCCGAGCGUUGUCCGGAUUUAUUGGGCGUAAAGCGAGCGCAGGUGGUUUAUUAAGUCUGGUGUAAAAGGCAGUGGCUCAACCAUUGUAUGCAUUGGAAACUGGUAGACUUGAGUGCAGGAGAGGAGAGUGGAAUUCCAUGUGUGGCGGUGAAAUGCGUAGAUAUAUGGAGGAACACCGGUGGCGAAGGCGGCUCUCUGGCCUGUAACUGACACUGAGGCUCGAAAGCGUGGGGAGCAAACAGG